UAGGUGGCAAGCGUUGUCCGGAUUUACUGGGCGUAAAGAGCGCGCAGGCGGUCGUUCAAGUCGCGUGUGAAAGCCCCCGGCUCAACUGGGGAGGGUCACGCGAUACUGAUCGACUCGAAGGCAGGAGAGGGUAGUGGAAUUCCCGGUGUAGUGGUGAAAUGCGUAGAUAUCGGGAGGAACACCAGUGGCGAAGGCGACUACCUGGCCUGUUUCUUGACGCUGAGGCGCGAAAGCUAGGGGAGCAAACGGG
This 250-nucleotide ribosomal RNA is filed under the name uncultured bacterium. Its description in RNAcentral is "partial 16S ribosomal RNA". It matches the Rfam family "Bacterial small subunit ribosomal RNA", at positions 528 to 776 of the family's 1533-position model. The record is from RNAcentral.